RNAcentral lists this ribosomal RNA (930 nucleotides) under Staphylococcus aureus. RNAcentral's name for it is "bacterial SSU rRNA". It matches the Rfam family "Bacterial small subunit ribosomal RNA", at positions 27 to 938 of the family's 1533-position model. Lineage: Bacteria; Bacillati; Bacillota; Bacilli; Caryophanales; Staphylococcaceae. The record is from RNAcentral.
GGAUGAACGCUGGCGGCGUGCCUAAUACAUGCAAGUCGAGCGAACGGACGAGAAGCUUGCUUCUCUGAUGUUAGCGGCGGACGGGUGAGUAACACGUGGAUAACCUACCUAUAAGACUGGGAUAACUUCGGGAAACCGGAGCUAAUACCGGAUAAUAUUUUGAACCGCAUGGUUCAAAAGUGAAAGACGGUCUUGCUGUCACUUAUAGAUGGAUCCGCGCUGCAUUAGCUAGUUGGUAAGGUAACGGCUUACCAAGGCAACGAUGCAUAGCCGACCUGAGAGGGUGAUCGGCCACACUGGAACUGAGACACGGUCCAGACUCCUACGGGAGGCAGCAGUAGGGAAUCUUCCGCAAUGGGCGAAAGCCUGACGGAGCAACGCCGCGUGAGUGAUGAAGGUCUUCGGAUCGUAAAACUCUGUUAUUAGGGAAGAACAUAUGUGUAAGUAACUGUGCACAUCUUGACGGUACCUAAUCAGAAAGCCACGGCUAACUACGUGCCAGCAGCCGCGGUAAUACGUAGGUGGCAAGCGUUAUCCGGAAUUAUUGGGCGUAAAGCGCGCGUAGGCGGUUUUUUAAGUCUGAUGUGAAAGCCCACGGCUCAACCGUGGAGGGUCAUUGGAAACUGGAAAACUUGAGUGCAGAAGAGGAAAGUGGAAUUCCAUGUGUAGCGGUGAAAUGCGCAGAGAUAUGGAGGAACACCAGUGGCGAAGGCGACUUUCUGGUCUGUAACUGACGCUGAUGUGCGAAAGCGUGGGGAUCAAACAGGAUUAGAUACCCUGGUAGUCCACGCCGUAAACGAUGAGUGCUAAGUGUUAGGGGGUUUCCGCCCCUUAGUGCUGCAGCUAACGCAUUAAGCACUCCGCCUGGGGAGUACGACCGCAAGGUUGAAACUCAAAGGAAUUGACGGGGACCCGCACAAGCGGUGGAGC